UACGGGGGGUGCGAGCGUUGUUCGGAAUCACUGGGCUUAAAGGGCGCGUAGGCGGGCUCGCCAGUCAGGGGUGAAAGCCCACGGCUUAACCGUGGAAGUGCCUCUGAUACUGCGGGUCUCGAGGGAGGUAGGGGCGUGCGGAACUUCCGGUGGAGCGGUGAAAUGCGUAGAUAUCGGAAGGAACACCGGUGGCGAAAGCGGCGCGCUGGACCUCUUCUGACGCUGAGGCGCGAAAGCCAGGGGAGCGAACGGG
RNAcentral lists this ribosomal RNA (253 nucleotides) under uncultured bacterium. RNAcentral's name for it is "partial 16S ribosomal RNA". It matches the Rfam family "Bacterial small subunit ribosomal RNA", at positions 524 to 776 of the family's 1533-position model. The record is from RNAcentral.